GAUGAACGCUGGCGGCGUGCCUAAUACAUGCAAGUCGAGCGAACAGACGAGGAGCUUGCUCCUCUGACGUUAGCGGCGGACGGGUGAGUAACACGUGGAUCACCUACCUAUAAGACUGGGAUAACUUCGGGAAACCGGAGCUAAUACCGGAUAAUAUAUUGAACCGCAUGGUUCAAUAGUGAAAGACGGUUUUGCUGUCACUUAUAGAUGGAUCCGCGCCGCAUUAGCUAGUUGGUAAGGUAACGGCUUACCAAGGCAACGAUGCGUAGCCGACCUGAGAGGGUGAUCAGCCACACUGGAACUGAGACACGGUCCAGACUCCUACGGGAGGCAGCAGUAGGGAAUCUUCCGCAAUGGGCGAAAGCCUGACGGAGCAACGCCGCGUGAGUGAUGAAGGUCUUCGGAUCGUAAAACUCUGUUAUUAGGGAAGAACAAAUGUGGAAGUAACUAUGCACGUCUUGACGGUACCUAAUCAGAAAGCCACGGCUAACUACGUG
Molecule: ribosomal RNA, 497 nt
Filed under: uncultured bacterium
Lineage: Bacteria
Description: partial 16S ribosomal RNA
Rfam family: Bacterial small subunit ribosomal RNA
Source: RNAcentral